UCGAACGAACUCUGGUAUUGAUUGGUGCUUGCAUCAUGAUUUACAUUUGAGUGAGUGGCGAACUGGUGAGUAACACGUGGGAAACCUGCCACGAAGCGGGGGAUAACACCUGGAAACAGAUGCUAAUACCGCAUAACAACUUGGACCGCAUGGUCCGAGCUUGAAAGAUGGCUUCGGCUAUCACUUCUGGAUGGUCCCGCGGCGUAUUAGCUAGAUGGUGAGGUAACGGCUCACCAUGGCCAUGAUACGUAGCCGACCUGAGAGGGUAAUCGGCCACAUUGGGACUGAGACACGGCCACAACUCCUACGGGAGGCAGAAGUAGGGAAUCUUCCACAAUGGACGAAAGUCUGAUGGAGCAACGCCGCGUGAGUGAAGAAGGGUUUCGGCUCGUAAAACUCUGUUGUUAAAGAAGAACAUAUCUGAGAGUAACUGUUCAGGUAUUGACGGUAUUUAACCAGAAAGCCACGGCUAACUACGUGCCAGCAGCCGCGGUAAUACGUAGGUGGCAAGCGUUGUCCGGAUUUAUUGGGCGUAAAGCGAGCGCAGGCGGUUUUUUAAGUCUGAUGUGAAAGCCUGCUGCUCAACCGAAGAAGUGCAUCGGAAACUGGGAAACUGUA
Molecule: ribosomal RNA, 618 nt
Filed under: Lactiplantibacillus plantarum
Lineage: Bacteria; Bacillati; Bacillota; Bacilli; Lactobacillales; Lactobacillaceae
Description: bacterial SSU rRNA
Rfam family: Bacterial small subunit ribosomal RNA
Source: RNAcentral